This 786-nucleotide ribosomal RNA is filed under the name uncultured bacterium. RNAcentral's name for it is "bacterial SSU rRNA". It matches the Rfam family "Bacterial small subunit ribosomal RNA", at positions 95 to 896 of the family's 1533-position model. The record is from RNAcentral.
GUGGCGGACGGGUGAGUAACGCGUGGGCAACCUGCCCCAAAGCUCGGGAUAACACUCCGAAAGGAGUGCUAAUACCGGAUGUAGUUGCGCUGCUGCAUGGCAGUGCAAAAAAAGGAGCAAUCCACUUUGGGAUGGGCCCGCGUCCCAUUAGCUAGUUGGUGAGGUAACGGCUCACCAAGGCGACGAUGGGUAGCUGGUCUGAGAGGACGAUCAGCCACACUGGAACUGAGACACGGUCCAGACUCCUACGGGAGGCAGCAGUGGGGAAUCUUGCGCAAUGGGCGGAAGCCUGACGCAGCAACGCCGCGUGAAUGAUGAAGGCCUUCGGGUUGUAAAGUUCUGUCAGGGGGGACGAUAAUGACGGUACCCCCGGAGGAAGCCCCGGCUAAUCACGUGCCAGCAGCCGCGGUGAUACGUGAGAGGCGAGCGUUAUCCGGAUUUACUGGGCGUAAAGGGCGUGUAGGCGGUUGGGCAAGUCCUUUGUGAAAUCUCCCGGCUUAACCGGGAGGGGUCAAAGGAAACUACCCAACUUGAGGGUAGCAGGGGGAGAUGGAAUUCUCGGUGGAGCGGUGAAAUGCGUAGAUAUCGAGAGGAACACCAGUGGCGAAGGCGAUCUCCUGGGCUAUACCUGACGCUGAGGCGCGAAAGCGUGGGGAGCAAACAGGAUUAGAUACCCUGGUAGUCCACGCCGCAACCGAUGGACACUAGGUAUGGGGGGUAUCGACCCUCUCCGUGCCGAAGCUAACGCGUUAAGUGUCCCGCCUGGGGAUUACGGCCGCAAGGCUA